Molecule: long non-coding RNA, 516 nt
Filed under: Gallus gallus (chicken)
Lineage: Eukaryota; Metazoa; Chordata; Aves; Galliformes; Phasianidae
Description: long non-coding RNA NONGGAT002337
Source: RNAcentral
GCGGCUGUGAGGGGCUGGGUGGUAUCUGCGCAGAAGUGCGUUUGCGCAGGCGGGGUGGGAAAUACUGAGAAGUACAGUGGAGUUAACAGCCUGCCUGCCUGCAUUCCAGUUUACAACAGUAUCAUCAAUGACAACAAACAAAUAACUUCAUUCUAUGACUGGGAGGCUGCAAAUUACUUGACCUGUAGAAAUCUAGGCAUCAAGCAGUCAUAAUGUUAUCUAAAACCUCUGGAAAAGAGGCAUUUCAUCUUGAAGGGCUGGCUGCUCUCACACACUUUUAUAUCCGCUGGAGUGAUCGAGAAAUCAUGUCUGGUGGAAGAAGUGAGUUUCUGUGCCUUGGAAUGAUCUUGGGCUUUUGGAGCUCCGUGAGUUGGAUGCCUGUUGGAGGCUGCCCGCAUAAAUGUACGUGCAUUGCUUCCAACGUGGAUUGUCAUGGACUAGGACUCAAAACUGUACCGAGGGAUAUUCCCAGGAAUGCUGAGAGACUGUAAGUAGUAAACGUUAAGGGCUCCUCAA